CCUAGAGCUGUGUCCUUUGCACAGUUUUCUGGUCUGGGGCAGAAGUCUGGGAAAAGGAGUACAGCUGCAGGCUCAAGGUAGAGAUGUUUUGUCACGGGUGGCUGGUGUUAGGAGCUGGCAGGGUUAUUAAACUUCCUAAGAAGAAUAACCCAGAACGUGCUCUGGAGCAGACAGGGCCAACUGGACAAAUAUGGAGACUCGCUCAGACCCCACCCAGAAGAAGACCUUAGAGCUCCAGCCAAUGAGAGUAAGACUGAGGUUCGUUUUGGCUCACAACUCUGCCUUUUGGUCUGGAGUUUCUGGAAGCAGGUUCUAGAAGGACUGACCACAGAGUUACGCAACAGUCUCCUGCCUCUGACCCACCUAAUCUGAAAGGAAAAGCACUGUGGCCUGGCAUCUAGCUCCUCACCAGAAGAUCUCGCCACAGAAGCAACACACCCUGAUGGCUGUUUAUGCUUUUUGCUUUUAAUUCCUCUUCCUCUAUAUUGAAAGGUCAAGGUUGCGAAUUUGACUCAAUUUGUGAAGCUUGCAGUUAGUAAAGGAGAAAAAAAAAGUCAGAAGAAGGCAGUCACUGUUCCCUUUGCCUAGGCCAGCAGCCUCAGUGUGACACUCUUGCGUCUAGCUAUGCUUUCCUGGACAAGUUACCAGGUGACAGCUUCUCCGGCCACGUGACUGGCACCGUGACCACGUGAGCCCCAGUGGCAUAGGAAGCAUUAUCUCUAUCUCACUGAGUGCUUCUGAUCCAUGGGGGGACAGGGCUUGGCCAGCCAUAGAGAAUCUCUGUUGACACCACUUUCUCUUGGUUCUAGCACAAGUUUCUCUAUUUCAGAGGAGGAAGGUUUGCCUGGAACAGCAGAUGAAGGUCCAGAAGACAGGGUGUGAAGACUGAGAUGGCCAGGCUCCACAGCAACCUCACAGCUGUGUGUUCAAGCUCUGAAUGCAUACUUGGCCAUACAUGCAAUUUUUGAAACUGCCUAGCAAGAUAAAGCUGGGAAGAGAGGAUGAGACUGAAGACAGAAAGACAAGCAAUGGUACACCCCAUUCCUCAGCUCUGCACCCCAGUUCCCAGACAGGGCAGCGGGUUAGACCACACUGGUCACACACAUACUCCAGAGGUUUCUGCUACAUACUCUACAGCCUGAGCAGACAGCUGUGGAAGAUGAACCCUCUCAUGGAACCGAGUGUUCUCUACCUCACUGUCAAGGGUGUACAGAGAAAUGAACCUUUGGGAUGAGAUGAACACAAACACAGAUUAAACAUGGUCCCUGUGAUCAGACAGCAAGCCACUGGGCAGGGGGCUCUCCCUCUGGCUUUGUGUGUCAGGAGGAUGGUGGUCUAGCACUAGCAUUGAGAGUCUGUAAACUCCGUUUUCUGUUCUCAGUUACUGAGGCUCCAAUUCUACACUUUCCCAUCUUCAACUUUAUGGAGAUAAAAUCAAAAUACUUUAAACUUUCAAUAUUCAGCUGUAGCGUAUUUCAUUUAAUAGUUCUGACAUCUCCAUUCCCCCUAAAACUAUGAUCACAAUUAAAGACAUUUCCAUCACUCCUGAAUUCCCUCGUAUAGUUGGGUAACCCGGCCUUAUGGAUUGAAUAUGAAAUGUGCCUCAGAGGCUCUUGUCUUUGAUUACUUGGUUCCCAGCCGGUAGUGCUGUUUUGGAAGGAGAUGGAGCCUCAGGGGAGGAAGCGGGUCUCUGGGGGUAGGGAUUUGAAGUUCCUAUAGCUAGGCCCUACUUUCUGUUUGCUUUCUGCUUCCUGACUGUAGACACAGUGUGAGCAGCUGCCUGAUACUCCCACGUUUGCCAUGAUGCUCCACCGCAGCGGGUUGCAUCCCUUCAUGAUCUGCAAGCCAAAUAAACUCUUCCUUCCUUGA
Myodes glareolus (Bank vole) is the source of this 1869-nucleotide non-coding RNA. NCBI's taxonomy places the organism in Eukaryota, Metazoa, Chordata, Mammalia, Rodentia, Cricetidae. The record is from RefSeq and is a predicted model, not a curated record.